This 603-nucleotide unclassified non-coding RNA is filed under the name Hevea brasiliensis (rubber tree). Lineage: Eukaryota; Viridiplantae; Streptophyta; Magnoliopsida; Malpighiales; Euphorbiaceae. The record is from RNAcentral.
AAAAAAAAAAAAAAAAGGAAAACCAACUCCAUAGUCCAUACAUCAUCUUUUGAGUGAGCGCAUAAAAAUAAAUUGUUUAAGAAAGUUUUACAUAAAUUGAAGUUGACUAUUAUCUUGAAAUAUUUGAAUUCUGUAUUAAUUUAUUAUAUCAAGUUUCAUGUCAGUAUUGUCUGCCCACAGUUUGCUACAGAGUGUGAAUGUUAACUUCAAUAGUUUAAUCUCAGCAAUAUUGAUUAAAGUUUACAUCAUUACGUGAAUAAGAUGCUUCGUAGUCUGACAGAGAUAUAUGAGAACCUUUUAAAAAUGGAAAAAGUCAAUUUGAAUGCCACCAAAAAGCAAGUUCUAUUUUUUUGCAGGAAAAAAAAGAUUGUAAAAAGAAAAUGAUGAUUAGGAAAUUUUUGUAGGGGGACAAUGCUUGUGAUAAUGUUUUGUUACUCAAGUUCAAAGAUAAGAAGCAAGUGUCCCAUUAUAUUAUAUGCAUUUAUUUGAUUAGCAGAAUCUCUUGAAUUUAAUCAUAAAAAACAAAUUUUAAUUUGAAAGAACUAUAUAUUCAUAAUUUUAAAUCCUGAUAAAAACAAGAAAUGGAGAAUAAUCAAUUAAACA